Long non-coding RNA from Toxorhynchites rutilus septentrionalis, 1147 nucleotides. RefSeq lists it as uncharacterized. The transcript has 3 exons. NCBI's taxonomy places the organism in Eukaryota, Metazoa, Arthropoda, Insecta, Diptera, Culicidae. The record is from RefSeq and is a predicted model, not a curated record.
UUUGAAAUCAAACAGAAUUUGCAAGUGGUAUGGACACUGAAUUUUUUAUUUCGCUUCUUUAUUUAGCUGCAGUGAAAAAUUUCAGUGAUGAAAUGGAGUGUUUUGCCAUGGAUUAUGUUCAACGAUUCGCUACUGAACAAGUUCGAUGAUGUCAAACAAAUCUCCAACUGGUUCUUCAAAGGGCAUAUUUUGAGCGACUUUAUCGAGAUUUUAUGAGGAGACAGUUUGACCUGAUUUGGGACGCGAUCGACGACGAAGUGGUCGAGGCUCGGCUUGAGGAACUCUAGCCCAAAAUGUCCGAUCUGUGAUCGGUGAUCGAGAUGCCCGACACCGAAGCAUCGGUUCUGUCAUAACAAAAUCACCCAAAUCUCAAAUUAAAAUAUCUGAGUCAGGCAUUCUUUGCCCAAGAUCCACGUAUAAAUAGCUGUGCGUUGAUUUGCUAUACGCUCGAGAAGCUACCGCUGCCCCAGGAGUAGGUGCUCGACGAAUUGCGGCAUAUGCUGAGCCCGUUUCUGGACGAGGAUCUGCGGAUGCAGCAAUGGGAUAGCAUUUGAAGGAAUCAUGUUAUUUUUAGGAAGGAAUUAUGAUGUUAUUUUAGUCGUACAGAUUUCUACUGUAAUGGUGAAAUGAAAAACACUCUAGAAUGAAUGAAAGGGCAUAUAUUAUCUCGUAGACAAAUUCCAAGAUAAUCACAGGAAAUGAACACAUUACACAUAUAAAUAAAUAGUGCCGCUAGCUUCUUACGGAAUGUUAUUAUUUUUUCGGUCUUAAAAUUGUACACUUGUUUCUGAGACUGUUGAACCAAUAUGUGGCAACAGAACGUGUGAAAAAAUCAUGCUAUUUGUGUAUGUUUAGAAACAAAAUAACUGAGCAUAUGAAUGACUACACCACAACUGGACUAAAUUUAGUUAUUCUAAAGUGGGGCGGAAGUAUUUACAAUAGGUGCUGCAAGAACACCGUUAUGAUCCAGGAUGCGCUAAUGCCCGUGAGGGCUGCUCUUACUUUGACCAUGCUCCUGAUGUGCCACACAAUAUGAAAACGCUCGUGGUUGCCGCAGCAGCUGUGGUUUAAAAAGUUUCGGUCUGCAAACAGCUGCAUGUAGCCGGAAUAUUUGCAGCAAUGUGUACCUGUCAAUCCACUAUAUAAA